GUUGAGGUGGCCGAGUGGGUUUAUGAGGCGGGAGACAAAAAUUCGAGAGGUUGGGGGUUCAAGUCCCACUCUUGACA
Molecule: transfer RNA, 77 nt
Filed under: Salix viminalis (osier)
Lineage: Eukaryota; Viridiplantae; Streptophyta; Magnoliopsida; Malpighiales; Salicaceae
Source: RNAcentral